Molecule: ribosomal RNA, 465 nt
Filed under: uncultured bacterium
Lineage: Bacteria
Description: partial 16S ribosomal RNA
Rfam family: Bacterial small subunit ribosomal RNA
Source: RNAcentral
GACGAACGCUGGCGGCGUGCUUAACACAUGCAAGUCGAACGGAAAGGCCCUGCUUGCAGGGUACUCGAGUGGCGAACGGGUGAGUAACACGUGGGUGAUCUGCCCUGCACUUCGGGAUAAGCCUGGGAAACUGGGUCUAAUACCGGAUAGGAGCCAUUUUUAGUGUGAUGGUUGGAAAGUUUUUUCGGUGUAGGAUGAGCUCGCGGCCUAUCAGCUUGUUGGUGGGGUAAUGGCCUACCAAGGCGGCGACGGGUAGCCGGCCUGCGAGGGUGGACGGCCACCUUGGGACUGAGAUACGGCCCAGACUCCUACGGGAGGCAGCAGUGGGGAAGAUUGCACAAUGGGCGCAAGCCUGAUGCAGCGACGCCGCGUGGGGGAUGACGGCCUUCGGGUUGUAAACUCCUUUCGCUAGGGACGAAGCUUUUUGUGACGGUACCUAGAGAAGAAGCACCGGCUAACUACGUG